Molecule: ribosomal RNA, 253 nt
Filed under: uncultured prokaryote
Description: partial 16S ribosomal RNA
Rfam family: Bacterial small subunit ribosomal RNA
Source: RNAcentral
ACGAAGGGGGCUAGCGUCGUUCGGAAUUACUGGGCGUAAAGCGCACGUAGGCGGACAUUUAAGUCGGGGGUGAAAUCCCGGGGCUCAACCCCGGAACUGCCUUUGAUACUGGGUGUCUUGAGUCCGGAAGAGGUGAGUGGAAUUGCGAGUGUAGAGGUGAAGUUCGUAGAUAUUCGCAGGAACACCAGUGGCGAAGGCGGCUCACUGGUCCGGUACUGACGCUGAGGUGCGAAAGCGUGGGGAGCAAACGGGA